CAGCAGAUAUUUUCUCUUUGAGCCCUGAGAGAGAAACAACUGCCGCUACUUAGAAUUGAACUCAACUUUCCGAGUGGGAGGAGAGCAUAUUCACCACUAGGCCACCACGAGUCUCCACAUCUUUUUUACAUCAUGGCAACCAAAACUGGAUGCAGUAUUCCAAAUGUGGCCUUACCAAGACCCAGUAAUCCAGCACACCUGCCUUUGAUCCCAAAGAAUCAAAACUUUUCUUUCUCCAGCCAUGAGGAAAGAUUGACAGAAAAUCCACCUCUCUACAGGAUUUCAUAGCUUGCUUUUUUUUCCUUUUAAAGAAGCAGGUUCUACGUCUGAGAGGCAGGAAGAUGCAUUCUAUAUUUAGCACAAGUGCCUGACAGUCUGGAUGAUUAUGAAAUAUGAAUGCAAGUUGACUUCACAACAGAUUGUCUAAAAUGUUUGCAUUUCUAUGUGGAAAAACGCUUUUAAAAAAUUGGACACAAAUACAUAUAUUAUUUCAGAUUUACAGUAUAACUGAAUCCGAACUUUUCAUUUGGGCUAAUGGAUAGGCAACACGAAAAAAAAAGAAGUCCUGAAACUUUGUUUUCAUGAAUGACAACUGCUGCGAGGCUACUGAUAUGCUCAGAAAAUAGAAAGGUUUGACGCUACCCACAAUGGGGGAAUGGGUGAUGCGGGUGAUGCAACUUGUGGAGAUGGCUAAAUUAACUUCUUUGAUCAGAGAAAAUCUACAUUUAUAGCUAACUGGAAAUCCCUUGUAGACUUCUUUGCACGAAACGGAAAAAAUGAACUUCUGACUUGUGGUAUUUAUUAUUAGGAAAAAAGGUUAAUAGAAAAAGGUGAGAUUUUUUUUAAUAAUCAUAGAGUAAGAGAUAAUUUUGUACUUAUAUUUGUUGCAAAGGCAAUUGGAAGCUUCUUUCUAUUUCUUUUUAUUCUUUAUUUCUGCACUUUCGCUUCUUUCUCUUUCUUUUUUUCUUUCUUUUUUCAUUUCUUUCUUUUCCUUUCUUUCUCUUCCUUCCUUGCUUCCUUCCUUCUUUCUUUCUUUUUCAUUUCUCUCUUUCUUUCCA
This is a long non-coding RNA of Pantherophis guttatus, 1058 nucleotides long. RefSeq lists it as uncharacterized. Lineage: Eukaryota; Metazoa; Chordata; Lepidosauria; Squamata; Colubridae. The record is from RefSeq and is a predicted model, not a curated record.